UUAAAUCUCAUAUUUUUUUACACACAGGAUUGAUUUCCAAAGACUCAUGCUAUGUAAGGAAGCCACCAAGAAGGGCAAAGAAAAGGAGCCAGGGACGGCUCUUCCUCAGGGACACUAGACUUUCAGGGAUGUGGCUAUAGAUUUCUCUUUGGAGGAGUGGAAAUGCCUGAACCCUGCACAGAGGGCUUUAUACAGGGAAGUGAUGUUGGAGAACUACAGGAACCUGGAGUUUGUGGAUAGCUCUUUAAAAUCCAUGAUGGAGUUCUCAUCAACUGGGCACGGUAAUACAGGAGAAGUGAUUCACACAG
This 308-nucleotide long non-coding RNA is filed under the name Homo sapiens (human). RNAcentral describes it as "non-protein coding lnc-ZNF701-1:1". The record is from RNAcentral. Lineage: Eukaryota; Metazoa; Chordata; Mammalia; Primates; Hominidae.